GUGUAUUCCCAAUUUUUAGCGUUCCCUUCCAGCGGAGUCUGCGUGGCUUUGUUGGGAGAGGCUUGUCUAAUCAGUGACAUCAGAGCUUGUGUUGCCCAAUGGAAGGAGGCGUGUCCGGUUCCAAAUUAUUCUGAUAAUGGUCCCCAGCUGGGCUGCGCUGCACUUCCGGGUCAGCGUGCACGCCUGCUUGGGUCCACUGUCUGCGCAGCGCACGCACCCGUCCAGCCGGUGCCAGAACGUCUCCCCGUGGCUGUGGCGGCGGGAAGGGUCCGUCGGUCUGGUGUCGGAGGCCCGGGGGAGCCGCUCGAUGAGAAAAUCGGCCUCCCCCGACCACAGAGGCGUAGGAACGCUUCGCCCCGCAUUGUUGCUGGUGACGCCGUAACCAUGGAGACGGCUCUAACAACAUGGCAGCUCCGGACCUGCGGAGAAUAAAAGUCCGUGAUGCUGCU
This is a long non-coding RNA of Oryzias melastigma (Indian medaka), 449 nucleotides long. RefSeq lists it as uncharacterized. The transcript is spliced from 2 exons. NCBI's taxonomy places the organism in Eukaryota, Metazoa, Chordata, Actinopteri, Beloniformes, Adrianichthyidae. The record is from RefSeq and is a predicted model, not a curated record.